RNAcentral lists this ribosomal RNA (460 nucleotides) under uncultured bacterium. RNAcentral describes it as "partial 16S ribosomal RNA". It matches the Rfam family "Bacterial small subunit ribosomal RNA", at positions 338 to 795 of the family's 1533-position model. The record is from RNAcentral.
CCUACGGGUGGCAGCAGUGAGGAAUAUUGGUCAAUGGACGAGAGUCUGAACCAGCCAAGUAGCGUGAAGGAUGACUGCCCUCUGGGUUGUAAACUUCUUUUAUAUGGGAAUAAAAUGUUCCUCUUGUUGGAUUUUGUAUGUACCAUAUGAAUAAGGAUCGGCUAACUCCGUGCCAGCAGCCGCUGUAAUACGGAGGAUCCGAGCGUUAUCCGGAUUUAUUGGGUUUAAAGGGCGAGUAGGUGGAUUGUUAAGUCAGUUGUGAAAGUUUGAGGCUCAACCGUAAAAUUGCAGUUGAAACUGGCAGGCUUGAGUACAGGAGAGGUGAGCGGAAUUCGUGGUGUAGCGGUGAAAUGCGUAGAUAUCACGAAGAACGCCGAUGGCGAAGGCAGCUCACUGGACUGCAACUGACACUGAGGCUCGAAAGUGUGGGUAUCAAACAGGAUUAGAUACCCUUGUAGUC